RNAcentral lists this ribosomal RNA (446 nucleotides) under uncultured bacterium. Its description in RNAcentral is "partial 16S ribosomal RNA". It matches the Rfam family "Bacterial small subunit ribosomal RNA", at positions 338 to 795 of the family's 1533-position model. The record is from RNAcentral.
CCUACGGGCGGCAGCAGUCGAGAAUCAUUCACAAUGGGGGAAACCCUGAUGGUGCGACGCCGCGUGGGGGAAUGAAGGUCUUCGGAUUGUAAACCCCUGUCAUGUGGGAGCAAAUUAAAAAGAUAGUACCACAAGAGGAAGAGACGGCUAACUCUGUGCCAGCAGCCGCGGUAAUACAGAGGUCUCAAGGGUUGGUGGGAAUCACUGGGCGUAAAGGGUGGGUAGGCGGUUUGGUAAGUCGUGUGGGAAAGGGGCGGGCUCAACCCGCGGACGGCACAUGAUACUGCGAGACUAGAGUAAUGGAGGGGGAACCGGAAUUCUCGGUGUAGCAGUGAAAUGCGUAGAUAUCGGGAGGAACACUCGUGGCGAAGGCUGGUUCCUGGACAUUAACUGACGCUGAGGCACGAAGGCCAGGGGAGCGAAAGGGAUUAGAUACCCUAGUAGUC